GGAUGAUUUGUUGGACGCUAGCGGCGGAUGGGUGAGUAACACGUGGGCAAUCUGCCCUAAAGACUGGGAUACCACUUGGAAACAGGUGCUAAUACCGGAUAACAACAUGAAUCGCAUGAUUCAAGUUUGAAAGGCGGCGCAAGCUGUCACUUUAGGAUGAGCCCGCGGCGCAUUAGCUAGUUGGUGGGGUAAAGGCCUACCAAGGCAAUGAUGCGUAGCCGAGUUGAGAGACUGAUCGGCCACAUUGGGACUGAGACACGGCCCAAACUCCUACGGGAGGCAGCAGUAGGGAAUCUUCCACAAUGGACGCAAGUCUGAUGGAGCAACGCCGCGUGAGUGAAGAAGGUCUUCGGAUCGUAAAGCUCUGUUGUUGGUGAAGAAGGAUAGAGGCAGUAACUGGUCUUUAUUUGACGGUAAUCAACCAGAAAGUCACGGCUAACUACGUGCCAGCAGCCGCGGUAAUACGUAGGUGGCAAGCGUUGUCCGGAUUUAUUGGGCGUAAAGCGAGCGCAGGCGGAAUGAUAAGUCUGAUGUGAAAGCCCACGGCUCAACCGUGGAACUGCAUCGGAAACUGUCAUUCUUGAGUGCAGAAGAGGAGAGUGGAACUCCAUGUGUAGCGGUGGAAUGCGUAGAUAUAUGGAAGAACACCAGUGGCGAAGGCGGCUCUCUGGUCUGCAACUGACGCUGAGGCUCGAAAGCAUGGGUAGCGAACAGGAUUAGAUACCCUGGUAGUCCAUGCCGUAAACGAUGAGCGCUA
RNAcentral lists this ribosomal RNA (757 nucleotides) under Lactobacillus delbrueckii subsp. lactis. RNAcentral describes it as "bacterial SSU rRNA". It matches the Rfam family "Bacterial small subunit ribosomal RNA", at positions 73 to 818 of the family's 1533-position model. Lineage: Bacteria; Bacillati; Bacillota; Bacilli; Lactobacillales; Lactobacillaceae. The record is from RNAcentral.